UCGUGCUUUGCGGCACGAGUUGUAGAUUGCAGGUUGGAGUCUGUGUGGAAGGCGGUGUCCAAGUCCCUUGGAACAGGGCGCCCAGGAGGGUGAGAGCCCCGUGGGAUGCCGGCGGAAGCAGUGAGGCCCUUCUGACGAGUCGAGUUGUUUGGGAAUGCAGCUCCAAGCGGGUGGUAAAUUCCAUCUAAGGCUAAAUACUGGCGAGAGACCGAUAGCGAACAAGUACUGUGAAGGAAAGAUGAAAAGCACUUUGAAAAGAGAGUGAAACAGCACGUGAAAUUGUUGAAAGGGAAGGGUAUUGCGCCCGACAUGGGGAUUGCGCACCGCUGCCUCUCGUGGGCGGCGCUCUGGGCUUUCCCUGGGCCAGCAUCGGUUCUUGCUGCAGGAGAAGGGGUUCUGGAACGUGGCUCUUCGGAGUGUUAUAGCCAGGGCCAGAUGCUGCGUGCGGGGACCGAGGACUGCGGCCGUGUAGGUCACGGAUGCUGGCAGAACGGCGCAACACCGCCCCG
This 509-nucleotide ribosomal RNA is filed under the name Pichia kudriavzevii. RNAcentral describes it as "partial large subunit ribosomal RNA". It matches the Rfam family "Eukaryotic large subunit ribosomal RNA", at positions 121 to 652 of the family's 3401-position model. The record is from RNAcentral. Lineage: Eukaryota; Fungi; Ascomycota; Pichiomycetes; Pichiales; Pichiaceae.